GUCGGCUUGCUUCUUUCCCGGUAUGAAAUGGGUCCUCAGACCACCUCUUCCCUUUUACUUGCGUCACUAUGAUCGAUUUCACAGUACAAAAUUUAGAUGAUAAAAAGAAAAAAGAAGAAAAAGGUGAUUCACAUAUUGGAAAUCAGAAUCAUGUAUAUACGUACGUGUUUGUUAUAUUAUUGCAGCAACACAUGCAGAAGCUUUCAUGGCUUUAGUUAUAUUAUUGUUAGUCGAGCUUGUUUUCUGGGUUGGAAAGUGAAAAAAGGGGUAUGGAUGAGGAAAAUGUUGAAGUGGAGGAACAUAUUUAAAAAGAGUGGUGAAAAGAGAGGACUAUUGAAGCAAAUCACAGGCAAAAGUAUGGAAGAUGGAUUGGCAUAAGAAAAAGGUCACAUGAAAGAGGGUGCGGGAGGGGGGAAGGAGAUAUUUGCUCACGAAGGUCACAGAAAUAGAUGGACAAGGGUGAUUAAAGUUGGCGUACAACAAUAAUAUACUGAAAUGAAAGAGGCUUCUUUUUAUGUGAAUCCCUGACUUUCCGAAUUUGCUCGGCAAAAGUAGAACAAUAAAUGAAUGUUGUGAA
This 577-nucleotide long non-coding RNA is filed under the name Gossypium raimondii (Peruvian cotton). RNAcentral describes it as "long non-coding RNA (GRAI_LNC001770)". The record is from RNAcentral. Lineage: Eukaryota; Viridiplantae; Streptophyta; Magnoliopsida; Malvales; Malvaceae.